This 201-nucleotide ribosomal RNA is filed under the name uncultured bacterium. Its description in RNAcentral is "partial 16S ribosomal RNA". It matches the Rfam family "Bacterial small subunit ribosomal RNA", at positions 141 to 334 of the family's 1533-position model. The record is from RNAcentral.
AAACAACCGGCCGAAAGGCUGGCUAAAUGUUCCAUAAGACCACAGGAUGGCAUCAUCCAGGGGUUAAAGCUCCGCAAGGGGCGCUAGAGGAGGAGCCCGAAUCCUAUCAUGGUAGUUGGUGAGGUAACGGCUCACCAAGCCUUCGACGGGUAGCCGGCCUGAAAGGGUGACCGGCCACACUGGCACUGAGACACGGGCCAG